This 253-nucleotide ribosomal RNA is filed under the name uncultured bacterium. RNAcentral describes it as "partial 16S ribosomal RNA". It matches the Rfam family "Bacterial small subunit ribosomal RNA", at positions 524 to 776 of the family's 1533-position model. The record is from RNAcentral.
UACGUAAGUGGCGAGCGUUAUCCGGAAUUACUGGGCGUAAAGCGUGCGUAGGCGGUUUAGUGUGUGGGAAUUGAAAGCCCGGGGCUCAACUCCGGAUCCGGUUCCCAAACUGCUAGACUCGAGCGUAUCAGAGGACAGUGGAAUUCCCGGUGUAGCGGUAAUAUGCGUAGAUAUCGGGAGGAACACCAGUGGCGAAGGCGACUGUCUGGGGUAUUGCUGACGCUGAGGCACGAAAGCCAGGGGAGCGAACGGG